UUAUAGUAUUAUUAAGAAUUUCAUUAAUACAUAUUUGUUUUAACUGUUAAAUGAUAAAAUCCAUGUAGACGUGCCCAGCAUAGUUUGUGUCAGGUAAGUAAUCAUUCAGCAAAUGUUACCUAGUACUGCUGUUGUUACUAUUACUACUUCUACAAGUACUACUACUGCUAGAAUGUUUACUAGUAACACAAAGAGCACUUUUACUUACCACUUUCUCAGUCAUUUCUCAGUCAAUUCUAACAGCAGUUCUAGAAUAGAAUGCUAAUAACAAUUUCCUGUGAUGAGAAAUGUGAGUGAAUUCGAACACGCUGGAAUUUAAUCUAAGAACCCAUAAUGGCAAGUAAGUAUCAUUAAGUCAUUGUUCAUAAUCAGUAUUAAUGGUUAAUAAUUGUAAUUUUUACUAACAUCAAAAAUUUUUAUUGUUUUCGUGCACAUAGAAACUUUUUGUUAAAGUGGCUUUUUUAGGAUGCCAGGAAAGAGAGUGUUGUAAAUUCAUUUUCUUUUUUUUCUGUUGGUUUUUAAUGAUAUGUACACUUACCUCACAGUAACUAGUGAAUCUAAGAUACACAUGCACACACACACACACACACUCUUACAUAACUUUUGCAUACCUAUUUUCUUUUAUUUUUAUUUUUUCAUUUUUUUCAAGGAAUGAUUUGCCCUGAGCUAACAUCUGUUGCCUAUCUUCAUCUUUUUUUUUUCCUUCCCAAAGCCCCAGUUCGUGGUUGUAUAUCCUAGUUGUAAGUCGUUCUAGUUCUUCUAAAUGAGCUGCUCCCACAGCAUGGCAAGUGACAGGUGGGUGGUGUGGUUACACAACUGGGAACUGAACCCGAAGCGGUAAACACUGAACUUUGACCACUAGGCCAUCAGAACUGGCUCCCUAUUUCCUUUUAAGAAUGUAAACUCCAUGGUAACUUAAUGUUGAAAUGCGUUUUCUGUGUUUAAACAAACAUACACUCUGUCCCUAUAAUGGACACCAGCGUCUGCAUUUCUUUGAGUGUGUCUUGUGCCUGUCAUUUUGCAAAACAUUUCAUCACACUCUGAGUUUUGUGUAAUAUAGUCAAUCUGUGAAUGUGAAAAAGAUUUUUACCCUUCUAGAUCAAAAGCAUUUUCUGUUUUAAAAUUCAGCUCUGGAAUUAAAGUGGUAUACGUUUGGGUUACUGAUACAAACUGAGGGUGUAAGAAAUUUUCCAACAUAUACAUGUUUUCCUACAUACCACAACAUCUUGCCUUCUCUUCUAGCAAAGUCUCUGAAUUAUUUGGGCAAUAACCCCAUGUGUUAAAUAUUUAACUUUUGACAAUACCAUUGAGGAUCUGAUGUGGAAAAUGUAAGAAGUCUUUCUGAGGAUUUUUUGAAUAAUGUUAAUAUUCAUAUUUAGAUGUUAAAAAUAUUAUCACUUUGUAAAGUUUUCCUGAACAUCUGUAUUUUCAGUGUGCUUUGCUACUGAUGGAUUUGGGCAAAAUCAAUAUCAUUGCAAAGUAAACUUUGCUCACCUGCUGAUUUUGGUAGAUUCUAUACAGUUUUGUUUUCCUCAGGAAAGCCAUGCAGUACUCUUCAUGAAUAUCUAGAAAAGGUACGCUAAAAGCAUUCUUAGCAAUUUUUUUAGACUGAUUAUAUUCUUAUCCCCAUUGUCUUUACUGACUCUUACUAUUGGACAGAUAUGUGACUAGUUUUUCCAACCCAACUUACUUCUCUGUGAAUUUUCCUUAUAUUUUAGAUCAUUCUAGUUAGAUUAUUACAGUUUUACUUUUUAUGAAUUAAUUGAAAUAAAGCCUUAUAUAAUCAAUUAUUAUCUGGUUUAGAAUGAAAUGCUAAACAAGUUUUGGAAGACAAGGGAUCUAAUCUUGUGGUGAGAAAAUUGCUUUUUCUUCUGUGUUUCUUUUCAGGUUCCAAAUGUACUUUGUGCUCUCGGUAUGUAAUCAUUCACUGACUGACGCCUAUUACUAUCACAACUACUAAUAUGAACCAUAACUACUACUAUGAUGACUAAUUUUACAAGUAUUUCUAAGACAAAACUCAAUUUUUAUCUUUUAAAGUGUGGGAAGUCCUUGGAUAUUUAAAGGCUAAACAACUUGCUAAUGUGCCACUCUAAGUAGACUUUUAAAAAAUACAUGUUCUAGUGAUUUUUAAUGAAAAUUUCCAAUUCUCAGUGUAACACAGUGGGAACAUGUCGUUUAAUGAUUAAUGUAUUACUUUUUAUAAAUAUCCUACAUAUCUCUUUUUAUCCAUGCGUAACUACCUGGAGCUUAACAAAGAACAGUGUUUGUCACGUGCCACCUGGACCCCCGGCAACUGUGAAGACUUUAGUUAUUAAAGACAAGCAAUAGGAUAGUGAAGGGAAGUCCUCACUAACAAGAAGGACUUUGCCUAGGUUCACAUCAUGUGGGUUUGUAUGGUAAGUCUGAGGAGGAAAUAACUAUGUCAUUGACAUAUGUGCCUUUGAUGGAAAUGGAUGCUGUGAUGAUUUGACAGUUAUGGAUCGCUGUCACAUUUUAGAUUAUAAGUUUAUUUUACACCUUUCUUCAUUCAAAACUCAAAACAAUCCUAUGAUGUAAAUAAAAAAAGUUUGAUAAUUAAAUUCAAUAGUCCAAAAAUUUGAUCUAAAUACUCCAUAUGAAAGGUAAAUAAAAUCAAGUCAAUGUAAAUAUUAGGUACUGUUUUUAUUAUUACUCUUUUAAUAUCAAAAUUUUAAUCAUUAUUUUAAUGAUGAGAAAUACUGAUGAAUGUGGAAUCUAGUGAAUUGUUCAUGGCCCCUAAUAUAAUGAGUGAUAUAAAUUCACAUUUAUUGUUUGAAAGAAUGAAAUGUCUUUAGUGAUUUUUUUCUAAUAAUCGAUGUAGUGUGAUUUCAGUAAGUAGUAAACCUGAGCAGAAACUUUUUAUAUUUCUUAGAAGUGUUUUAACUGAUAUGAACUUUAUGGUAUAUUAGUAUUCAAAAGCUUUACAUGUUUGAAUGAGAAUGUAGUACUCUGGUAUGAAAAGAACUAUAAUGUAUGUGGGGGUGCCCACGAUUUUACUAGAAUGGGAUCCUGUAUGUGCAUUCUGUUAUCUGAUUGAUUAAUCCGUGAACAUAAGACUAUGGAUAUCGAUCCACAUUGUAAAUCAUAUAUCGUAUUUGUAUUUUAAAAUUCAACUCUUUAAUCCAUGUGGGAUAUGUUUGGUUUUGUAAUAUCACACGACUAUGUAAAUUUUAAAAAUAUUUGUUGAAUCACAUACAGGUUCUCAAUUCCAUUCAAAUCCCAUCUGUAUGAGUUGUUAAGCCAUUCCUGAAAUUUAGUAAUCACUGUAACCUUUGAUGGUCCUAUUUAGGAAAAGGGGAAGCAAAUUACAUGCCUUACUCAUUUUAUCUGUCUAAUUCUUGAACAGUCACAACUAUUUAUAUUCGGUAGUUAUUAUUAACAUCAUUUUUUUAAGUUCCCUUUAGUAAGCGACCUUGAGUUUUGAUUAUAGGAUGCAAAUUUAGGAAUUUGUGGAACAUAAACAUCUUUAAAAAGUUCUGUUCAUUCAUCCUCUGGUAUGAGAACAUGAUCAGUUACACAACCCAGCCAUUUUCAACUCAAGAAAAUUAUGCUGCUUCCUUCAUGAAAGUCUGCACAUUAUGUGAUAGGUUUAUUCUUAGCAGAUGUAUAUUUUCCUUCUGUUUUGAAUGAAAUCUUAUUUCCAAGAUCUUUAUGGACUUUAUGGUCCUUUUGGUGGUACGUGGUACCCAAGAAAGUUACUAACUUCAUUUUACAAGGAUUCAUUUGUAUGCUGAGAACCAGUUCCUACCAAGUUCAGAAGGAUUUUGCUUUCACCUCAUCCAUGUUUGCCCUGGCUUACUUUCCUUGUUUUUUUUUUUUUUGAGGAAGAUUAGCCCUGAGUCAACAUCCACCGCCAAUCCUUCUCAUUUUGCUGAGGAAGACUGGCCCUGAGCUAACAUCUGUGCCCGUCUUCGUCUACUUUAUAUGUGGGAGGCCUGCGACAGCAUGGCUUGACAAGCAGUGCGUAGGUCUACACCCGGGAUCUAAACCAGCGAACCCCAGGCUGCUGAAGCAGAGCUCUCAAACCUAACCACUGCACCACCAGAUCAGCUCUCUGGCUUUCUUUUUUAUGGAAAAAAUUUUGAGAGAGAUUAAAUUUGAUAAGUAGAAUUCCUGCAUAAUUUAUUUCUCCACAAGUGUCAAAUGGAAGUAUCAGCCUGGAGUCCCAAGUACAUUGUUUGCUGAUACUUAAAUUAUUACUAGUACUAUUGUUAGUGCUUCUGUUACUAUCACUGCUGCUACUGCUUCUGUUACUACUAAUACUAUGACUACUUCUGUAUUCUUUGGUAGCAUUAACAGCAGGUUCCAUUAUCACCUUUUAUCAGGUAAGAAAUUCACGAUUUGUAGAGGAUUAUAGCUCUGCUAAUGUCUCAAAAAUGAGUCGACAAAAUUGUUUUAUUAAUUUGUUAGGAUCUAGUAAUUUUUACAUGACUGUUUUACAUGAGUAAGGAAACAAUUGAUAAUGAGAUGUGUAAUAAUCUCCCAUGAAAAAUUACUUCCCCACCACAUCUCACUUUUAACCAGUAAUAUACUUGGUGGAUAUCUUUCAAUAAUAUUUUCCAUGUUAAAUCGUAAUGCCAGUGGUGUAGGGGUUGGUUUAUAUUUCAUAUAAAACUGUAGAACAUUCAUGGCCUAUAAUUAUGUUUUUGUUUACUUUCCAAAAAAUUCCAUGGAUACCCACACCAAAAGAAAUACAUUUUUAUUUAUAUUCAAACUUGAAAUUGCAAAGAAUGCAUUGGCAUGUGGAUUAAUGGGUACAAUUGACAACCUUGCUAAAUUGUUUCAUUGAAUUCUUCACAGUUCUAGCCAAAACCACCGUGUUUUAAUAGUAUUACAGAUUGUGUGUGUGUGUGUGUGUUGUGUGCUAUUGCCAAUGUUCCUUAUGACUUACCUCUUUUGAGUUUGUUCUAGGUAUUGGUUUAGGCCCACAUGUGAGUCUCAAAUCAAAAUUAUUCAGGUAGAAAAAAGAUGAUUGCAGUAACCAGAGCAACAUUGCUGCUUGUUGAUACCAUGGGGCCUUGGCAACCCACUUAGACCCCAGAAAAUGGAGAAACCCAUAGAACCUAAACAUCGGCAGUGGAAUAGUGGGAUUUUACCUUCAGUAAUAAUAGCAGCAUUUCCAAGGUUAAGAUCUUGUGUGUUUAUAACUAGUCUCUAAAUUGGGACUGGCUGUCACGUUAAGACUGAGUCUUGAUAGCUGCAGCAAGGAACAUUGUGACAUACUACUCAGUGAUUUACCUUUGUCAUAUUUUAGGUUACUGAAGUGUUUUAUACAGGUUGCCCCAUUCAAACCUGACAGCAAACCUGUGAUAUAAAAUGAAUAAUGGUUUUAGUAUGACGCGAGUGUUACCUCAAGCAAAUUAAAUGAUCUCCAAAUAUAUAUUAAGCACUCUACUUGGCUGAAGGAAAUUAUUGGUGACUGGAAAGAUUGUACAAGGUGCCACAGGAAAGAAAUGACAAUUCCAGAAGGGUAACAACCUUCCUCUGUACAAUGAAUUGCAGUACUCAAUAAAUCCAUGUCCCACUUCGUCAGAGUCGCUUAGUCACCAAGGAUCACAUCUGUUCUUAGAACUGACCUCUCAUGUCAUGAGUUUGGAUGAACUGUCAGUUCCUUCCGGUUCCAGAAAUAUCUACCCAUGUUUCUUCAUCCAUCCUCACAACCAACCCAUGUCAGUGAGGUAGUAAAAGGUUCAGUGACACAAAUUGGAUGUGGGGAUCAAAUGAGAUAAUCUACCUAAAAGCUUCAUGGACAUUGCAUGCCAGGAUCCAAAGUAUCUUCAUUUGUCUUCUUGCUGAUCCUCAGGACAAAUCUAUGUUGAUGAAUUAGUAAGGGAUUCAGUAACACGGAUUUGUCAUGAGGGUAAAUGAGAAAAUCUACAUAGAAGCCCCCAGUAAAAUAUAUGCUAUAUAAAUAAGGAGCAGAGUAUCGUGUCGUAUUUAAAUGAUACUUGGUAAGUAUGGGAUUUUUUGUUUUGAUACAGGGGCCCCUAAGGCCACGCUCAGGCAUGCUGCUUCACUAAAAAGAUUCACAAAGGCUCAGAGGUGGUUAUACUCAUGGUUAUGGUUUAUCACUAUGAAAAGAUACAGAUUAAAAUUGGUAAAGGGGAAAGAGACAUUGCUUAAUUCCAGGAGAAACCAGGCAUAAGCUUCCAGUUGCCCCUUCCAGUGGAGUCACAAGGAAUGUGCUUAAUUCUCCCAGGGAUAACGUGUGAAGUGUUGCCAACCAAAGACGGUUACCGAAGCCUGGGUAUCCAGGAUUUUUAUUGGGAGUCAGUCACCUAGACUUGCAGCACUUGUAUGACUGACCUCAGCUAUUCAGACUCCCAGAGCGAAAACAGGUGUUUCCCGUAAAUCACAGUGUUAGCAUAAACUAUCUGGUCAUACUGGUGCAGUGUUUCCAAAGACAUGGCAGAGGCAUUCUUAUCAGACAGAACAUUCCAAGGGCUCAGAGCUAAACUUCUAGGCAUCUGCCAAGGGCCAGUACAGAAAAUGGACCUUACUUGGGAAUGUGCAGGGCUUGAGCAACUCAGGCCUGCUGAGUUAACCCUUUCUUGCACAGAUUCUGAUAGUUUCUGCAUUACUUUAAUUUUCAUUUCCUAAAUAUACUUCCUACAUAUUUCUUCAAUUAAUUCUCAUGACAAAUAAUGAACUGUAGAAUUGUGAUUUUUUGGUAUAUAUUUAUUGUGGUUAAGUAUGGAAAUCCACAUGAAAGUCCAAACUGCCUUAUCUGCUAGGUACAUAAUCAUUCUGCAAAGUUUCCUUUUCAUUGUUGGCAUCACUACUCCUUUUCUGCUACAUGCCUUAAUAUCUCUACCAGUACUUUUACUAGUAAUAGGAAGAGCAUGUUCAGUUAUCACUCUCAGAGUGUGGUGGUGUUUGUUUUUCAUAUGCAUGUUGGAAUAUAUUCUGCCUAAUUUUAUUCAGUGUUUAUUUACUAGAACAUACUAUGGAUAUCUAUUCCAAGAUAGAUGAUUUCUCUAGAAUUCAAGCCUCAAAGCAACUGCGACAUGUGUAAGGGGUGCUUACGAUCCAGUGAGGGAAGCAGUCCAAGACAUCGAUACUCGCGCUGAUAGAAGCUAGAAUGUGUUCAGGGCUACAGUAGACCUACAGACAGAGCCUGGUUGGAGAACAAGAGGUGGAUCCCGACUCUGUGCAUCUGUGAAAGUCUCUUGGAGGAGGGAGAAGCAAACCAUUUUCAAAGUCGCAAUCCUGCCACGUGAAGACCUACCUGCAUGUAAGAGAAGAUAAAGAUAAUUCCCAUUAGAAGAACAAGAACAAGCUUGUUCUCUCUGGGUCCUCUAAUCGUCCAGGAAAGCUUAGAGCAGGUGAGGGAAUCACCACUGAGGGAAGGAUGAAAGCUGGAGGGAGAGGGGAGGCUUUACCUAGGGUUAUGGAAAAUCUUAAGUACAGUCCUCAUGAUGUGGAGGAAAAGAGAAGAAAACUACAUUUGAGAGUGCAAGGGGGACUGUGCAGGUCCUCCACCUUGAAGCCAUGCUGUGUGCAGUGCCCUGCCCAGGAUGGUGCUCAUCACUUAAACCAUGUGUAAUUAAUGCUCAUCUAGUUAGAGUUAUGCUCAACAAGAAUGAUUGUGGUGGCCUUCAGACUGGUAAUGAGGAUGGAGAUGCUUGUGUCCUUGAGCUGCCUGCUUUGCACUCAUCUAAGCCAUUGUAGCUACCUGAUCUCAGGCAUCUUCAAAAUGAUUUCAGUGGUCUAUUACUACCAAUGUGAACACCUAUAGGUUAGAGUGGAUGAACAUACAUCUUAAUAAAAAAGGAGAAAACAAGAACAAGCUUGUUCUCUCCGGGUCCUCAUAACCAUCCAGGUAAGCAGAGGGCUGUGGGGGAUCCAGUGGUGCUGAUCACUUAGAUUACUUUUAAUUAGUGCCUAUCUGGGUAGAGUAACGCUCUAGAACAACAUUUCUGGAGUCCUCCAGACCAAUGAUGAGGAUGGAGUAUAUGUCUACUUUUGCUGCCUGCCUUGAACUCAGGAGGACCCUAGCAGCCAGCUGGAUCUCACACAUCCUCAAGAAGAUUUCAGUGGUCUGUUAUUAUGAAUGUAAACAUCUACAGGUUAGAAAAGAUAAAGAUUCUUCUUAACAGAAGAAGAGAAAACAAGAACAGGUUUGUUCUUUAUGGGAUCUCAUAAUCAUCUAGGUAAACGUAGAGCAGGUGAGGGCAUCCUGAGUGAAAGGGGGAAUCAAGUUGGAGUGCAGUGGAGUGCAGUCCUAACAAUGCCAACACCUAUGAGUUAGAGUAGAUGAAGAUAGUUCCUAAAGGAAGAAGAGAAAAUAGGAGCAAACAUGUUCUCUCUGGGACCUCAAAAUCAUCCAAGGAGUAGGUGAAGUGAUCCACACUAAGGGAGAGUUGCAAUUGGAGGGCAGUGGGUCAGCAUUGUGUAUGGUUAUGGAAAAAUCUUGGGUCCAGUCAUCAUGAUGUGGUAGAGAGACUCAUGGAAGCUAAAUUUGAGAAGGUGAGGGAGACUAGACAGUUCCUCCUCCAUGAGCCAUCCUGUGUGCAAGGCCCUGCCCAGAAUGGUGCCGAUUAUGCAGACUAUGUGUAUUCAGUGACUUCUAAGUAGAGUGAUGCUCAAGAAGAACAAUGUUUUUGGUGUCCUUAGGACCAGUGAUUGGAGUGGAGCUUCAGGUGUUGUUGAGCUUCCUGCCUUGACCUCAAGAGGGCCCUGGCAUCCACCUGAAUCUCAGGCACUCUCAAAAGGGUUACUGUUGUCCAUUUCUAAGUAUGUGAACACUUACAGGAUAGAGAAGAUGAAGAUUCUUCCUAAUAGGAAAGAGGAGUAAGCUUGUUGUCUCUGGGUCUUCAUAAUUAUCCAGGUAAACAUUGAGCAGGUGGGGUGAUCCCGAGUGAGGAAGGGAUGAAAUCUGGAGGGUGGUGACUGGGCACUGUCUAGGGUUAGGAAAACGUCUUCUGUACGGUCAUGAUAAUGUGGGGAGAGAGAUGAAGGCUACGUUGGAGAGUACUUGGAGGAGUGGGCCAGUUCUCCCCCUUUAGCCAUGCCGUGUGCUGUGUCCUACCCAGAAAGGUACUGAUAACUUAGACUACAUGUAGUCAGUGUCUUUCUGGGUAGAGUAAUGCUCAGCAAGAACAACAUUGGUGGUGGCCUGUAGCAGUGACAGGAGUGGAGCUGCAGGUGUCCUUGAGCUGGCCUGCAUUGCAUUCAGGAAGGCCUGAUAGCCAUCUGGAUCUCAGGCAUCCUCAAGAUGAUUUCAGUGGGCCAUUCCUACCAAUGUGAUCUCCUACAGGUUAGAGAAGAUGAAGACACUUCCUAAGAGAAGAAACGUAAAAAGGGAUAAGCUUGUUCUCACUGCAUCUUCAGAAUCAUCUCGUAAACAUAGAGCAGGUGAGGGGAUUUUCACUGAGGGAAGGUUGGAAUUGGAGGGCAGUGGGUUUUCUUCUCUAUGGUUAUAGCAAAACUUGGGUACAGUCAUCGUGACAUGAUCAGGACAGAGAAUGAAGCUACUUUUGAGAAUGUGAGGGCAACUGGGCAGAUUCUCCACUUUGAUCCAUUCUGUGUGCAGUGCCCUAUCCAGUAAGGUACUGAUCACUUAGACUAUAUGGGAUCAGUGCCUGUCUGGGUGGAGUAAUGCUUGACAGGAACAACAUUUGGGAGGGUCUUCAGACUGGUGCUGGGGAUGAAAUGCAUGUUUCCUUGAGCUGCUAAACUUGAGCUCUAGACGUCCCUUGGAAGGAACUGGGUCUGAUCUGGGUCACCCUUAAAAUGAUUUCCGUGGUCCAUUCCUAACAAUGCCAACAACUAUGAAUUAGAGUACAUGAAGAUAUUUCCUAAUAGAAAGAGAGAAAGGAGGAGCAAGCUGCUUCACCACAUACAGCAGGUGAGGUGAUCCCCAUUAAGGGAUGUUUGCAAAUUGGAGGGCAGUUGGUCAGCAUUGUCUAGAGUGACAUAAAAAUCUUGAGUACCACCACCAUGAAUUGUGAGGAGAGUCAUGAAAGCUACAUUAGAGAGUGCGAAGGCGACUGGACAGGUCCUGUGCCUUGAGCCAUGCUAUGUGUAGGGCCCUGUGAAGAAUGCUGCUGAUUAAUUAGAUUAUGUUUACUUGGUGCCUUCUGGGUAGUGAUGCUCAACAAGAAAAAGAUUUGUGGUGGAUUUAGGACCAGCAGUUGGAGUGAAGCUCAGGUGUUGUUGAGCUUCCUGUCGACUUCAGGAGGGCCCUGGAAUCCACCUGGAUCUCAGGCAUCCUCAAGAAGAUAGCUGUGGUCCGUUCCUAACAUUGUGAACACGUACAGGCUACAGAAGAUGAAGAUUAUUCCUAAUAGAAGAAUAGAAAACAGAGGAAGCAUGUCAACUCGGGUCGUUAGAGUCAUCCAGGUAAAUCAAGAGCAGGGAAGCAGGUCCCCACUGAGGUAGAGAGUUAAGACGGAUGGCAGAGGGUCAGUGUUUUCUAGGGUUAUGGAAAAAUCUUGUGUACAGUCAUUAUCACGUGGUGGGGAGAGAAUGAAAGCUUCAUCUGAGAUUAGGAGAACGACUGGGCAGAUCCUUCACCUUGAGCCAUGCUGUGUGCAGUGCCCUACCCACAAGGUACUGAUCUCGUAGACUAUGUGUAAUUAGUACCUUUCCGGCAACUGUAAUGCUCCACCAGAAUAUGUGUGGAAGCCUUCAGACCAGUGCUGGGGAUGGAGAUGCAUGUGUACUUGAGUUGUGGACUUUGCCCUCAGGAGGGCCCUGACAGCCACCUGUGCUUGAUCUCAGGCAUCCUACAGAGGAUUCCUGUUGUCCAUUCCUAACUAUGUGAACACCUGGAGGUUAAGGAAGACAAAGAUUGUUCCUAAUAAGAAAGAGGAGCAAGCCUUUUCUCUCUGGGUCCUUGUAAUUAUCUAGGUAACCGUAGAACAGGAGAGGUGAUCCCAAGUGUGAGACGGUUGCAAGUUGGAUGGCAAUGGGUCAGAAUUGUCUAAAGUUAUGGAAAAAUCUUGGGGAAAGUCAUCAUAAUGUGGUGGAGAGUCAUGAUACCUACAUUUGAGAGUGCGAAGGAGUCUGGACAGGUCAUCCACCUUGAGCCAUAUGGCGUGCAGUGACCUGCCCAGGAUGUUGCUGUUUACUUAGACUACGUGCAUUCAGUGCCUUGUGGGAAGAGUGAUGUUCAACAAGAAGAAUGUUUUGGUGGACUUAGGAGGAAUGAUGGGAAUGGAGCCUCAGCUGUUCUUGAACAUCCUGCCUUGCCCUCAGAGGGGUCUGGCAACAGCCUGGAACUCAGGCAUCCUCAAGGAUGUUGCUGUGGUCCAUUCUUAGAUUGUGAAGAGCUAAAGGUUAGAGAAGAUUAAGAUUAUUCCUAAUAGCAGAAUAGAAACCUGAAGGAAGAUUGUGGUCUCUGGAGCAACAUCAUCAUCCAGGUGAAAAGAGAGUAGGUGGCCGAUCCCCACUAAGUAAGAGAAUCAAGUUGAAUGGCAUUGAGUAUGUAUUUUAUAGGGUAAUGGGAAAAUCUUGUGUACAGUCAUCAAGACAUGAUGGGGAGAGAACAAAAGCUUCAUCUGAGAGUGCAAGGAUAAUUAACUAGUUCCUUCAACUUGAGCCAUGCUGUGUGCAGUGCCCUACCCGGUAGGUACUGAUCACUUAGCCUACGUGUAAUUAGUACCUGUCUGGGUAGAGUAAGGCCAACAAGAACAACAUUUGAGGAGGCAUUCAGACCAGUGAAUAAGAUGGAGAUGCAUUGGGCCUUGAGUUGUGUGCUUUGCACUCAGGAGGGUCCUGACAGCCACGUUGGUUUGAUCUCAGGCAUCCUAGAGAGGAUUGCUGUCACUGGGUCCUAAGUAUGUGAACACCUGCAGGUUAUAGAAGAAGAUUCUUCCAAAAAGGAAAGAGGAGCAAGCUUGUUCUCUCUCUAGGUCCUCAUAAUUACCCAAGUAAGCAUAGAAGAGGAGAGGUGAUCCCCAGUGAGAGAGGAGUGCAAGUUAGAGGCAGUGAAUGGGCACUGUCCAAGGUUAUUGAAACAUCUUGUAUACAGUCAUCUUGAUGUGGGGAGAGAGAUGAGGGCUCCAUUGGAGAGGGCGAGUGGAUUGGGCAGGUUCUCUCAAUUUAGCCAUGCUGUGUGCAGUGUCCUACUCAGAAAGCUGGUGAUCGCUUAGACUACGUGUAGUUGCUACCUUCCUGGGUGGAGUGAUGCUUGACAGGAACAAGCUGGGUGGUGGCUAGUAGCAGUGAUGGAAGUGGAGCUGCAGGUAUCCUUGAGCUGGUCUGCCUUGCACUCAGGAGGGCCCUGACAACAACCUGGAUCUCAGGCAUCCUCAAGAUGAUUUCAGUGGGCCAUUCCUACCAGCGUGAUCUCUUCCAGGUUAGAGAAGAUGAAAAGAGUUCCUAAUAGAAGAUGGGAAAAUAGGGGCAAGCUUGUUCUCUGUGGAUCCUCAGGAUCAUCUGGUAGAGAUAGAACAGGUGAGGGGAUUCUCACUGAGAGAGGGUUGCGUUUGGAGGGCACCGGGUCUCUCUUGUCUAGGGUUGUAGAAAAACUUGGGUACAGUCCUUGUGACACUCUUGGGACAGAGAUGAAAGGUACUUUUGGGCAGAUCCUCCACUUUGAGCCAUUCUGUGUGCAGUGCCCUACCCGGUAAGGUAGUGAUCACUUAGAUGAGGUGUGAUCACUGCCUGUCUGGGUGGAGUAACGCACAACAGGAACAAUGUUUGGGAGGGUCUUCAGACUGGUGCUUGGGAUGGAGAUGGAUGUGUCCGCGAGGUGAUGCCUCCAACUCUGGGGGGCUGUGCAGUCAUCAUGGUUGAAUCUCAGGUAUUCACAUGAUGAUUUCCAUUUUCCGUUCCUAACAAAAUCCACUCCUGUAUCAUUGAGAGGAUGAAGGCACCAGCUUAGAGAAAUGUAAAUUUCGUAUGACUGUGCAAGGGUCAUUGCGAGGGUCAUCCACCUUGAAGCCAUGCUUCAGGAACUGUCCAGACAAGAAUGGUGCUCGUCAUUAAGACUACAUGUAAUUAGUGCAUGUCUGGGAUGGGUGAUGCUCAACACCACAAUGUUUGUGGUGGCCUUUGUAUGAGUGAUGGGGGUGGAGAUGGGUCCUUGAGCUGCCUAAUUUGAACUCACUAGGGACAUGGCUGCCAACUGAAUGCCAUGUAUGCAUCAUAUGGUUUGAUUGGUCCAUUCGUAAUAAUGAUAAUGUUUAGGGGUUAGAUUAGAUAAAGAUAUUUCCUAUGAGAGGAAGAGAGAAUUAGGAGCCAGCUUGUUCUCUCUGAAACCUCUUACUCAUCCAAGUAAACACAGAGGAGGGGAGGUGAUCCCAACAUCGGGAGCAUUGGAAGUUGGAGUGCAGUGGGCCAGCAUUGUUUGAGAUUAUGGAAAAAUCUUGGGUACAGUCAUCAUGACAUGGUGGGGAGACAACAAAUGCUUCCACUGAGAGUGUGAGGAAGACUGGGCAGAUGCACCACCUUGAGCCAUGCUGUGUGCGGUGCAGUAUCCAGAAGGUACUGAUCACUCAGCCUGCGUGUAAUUAGUACCUGUCUGGGUAGAGUAACGCUCAACAAGAACAACAUUUGUGGAGGCCUUCAUACUGGUGAAUAGGAUAGAGAUGUAUUUCUUCUUCAGGUGUGUGCUUUGCCAUCAGGUGGGCCCUGACAGCUACAUGGGUUCGAUCUCAGGCAUCCUACAAAGAAUGGCUAUUAUCCUUUCCUAAAUAUGUGAACACUGAUAGGUUAGAGAAGACUAAGAUUAUUUCUGAUAAGAAAGAUGAGCAAGCCUGUAGUGUCUGGGUCCUUGUAAUUGUCCUGGUAAACGUAGAAGAGGUGAGGUGAUCCCCAGUGAGAGAGGAGUGCAGUUUGGAGGGCAGUGGGUGGGCAGUGUCCAGGGUUAUGGAAACGUCUCAUGUACGGUCAUCAUGAUGUGGGGAGAGAGAUGAGGGCUACAUUGGAGAGGGUAAGUGGGAUGGGGCAGGAUCUCCCACUUCAGCCAUGUUGUGUGCAGUGUCCUACUCGGAAAACUACUGAUCACUUAGAGGACAUGUAGCAACAGCCUUUCUGGGUAGAAUGAUGUUCAACAAGAACAACAUUGCUGGUGGCCGGUAGCAGUGACAGGAGUGGAGCUUCAGGUAUCCUUGAGCUGGCCUGCCUUGUUAUCAGGGGAUUCCUGAUAGCCACCUGGAUCUCAGGCAUCCUCAAGAUGAUUUCAGUGGGCCAUUCCUACCAGCGUGCUCUCGUACAGGUUAGAGAAGAUGAAAAGACUUCUUAAUAGAAGAAGAGAAAAUAGGAACAAGCUUGCUCUGUGUGGCUCCUCUUAGUCAUCCGCUAAACAUAGAGCAGGUGAGGGGAUUCUCACUGUGGAAAGGUUGCUGUUGGAGGGCACUGGGUCUUCAUUGUCUAGGGUUAUAGAAAACCUUGGCUGCAGUCACUGUGACAUGCUUGGGACACAGAAGUGAAAGGUACUUUUGAGGAUGUGAGGAGAACUGGGCAGAUUCUCCACUUUGAUCCGUUCUGUGUGCAGUGCCCUACCCAGCAAGGUACUGAUCGCUUAGACGAGGUAUGAUCAGUGCCUGUCUGGGUGGAGUAAUGCUCAACAAGAACAACAUUUGGGAGGUUAGUCAGACUGGUGCUGGGGAUGGAAAUGGAUGUGUCCGUAAGGUGCCUGCCUCCAACUCUGGGGGGUCGUGCAGCCUCCCUGGUUGGAUCUCAGGUAUCCACAUGAUGAUUUCUGCCUUCGUUUGCUAACAAUAUGAACCCCUGUGAAUGUUUGAGAGAAUGAAGAUAUUGGCUUAUAGAAAUGUAAAUUUCGUAUGACAGUGCGAGUGGCAUUGUGUCGAUCCUCCAGCUUGAAGCCAUAUUUCAGGCUCUGUGCAGCUCAGAGUGACACUCAUCAUUUCGACUACAUGAAAUUGGUACCAGUCUGAGAAGAGUGAUGCUCAGCCAAAUGACAUUUGUGGCGGCCUUUGCAUGAGUGCUAGGGUUGGAGGUGGGUCCUUGAGCUGCCUAACUUGAACUCACUAGGGCCAUGGCUGCCAACUGAAUCCCCUGCAUCCACCAUAUGAUUUCAUUGCUCCAUUCGUAAUAAUGUGAAUGUUUAGAGGUCAGAGUAGAUGAAGUUAUUUCCUAGGAGAAGAAGAGAAAAUAGGAGCAAGCUUGUUCUCUCUGGGAUCUCACAGUCGUCAAAGUACAGGCAGAGGUGACGUGAUCCCCAUGUCAGAAGCGUUGGAAGUUGCAGGGCUGUGGGUCAGCAUUGUCUAAGGUUAUGGAAUAAUCUUAGCUACAGUCAUCAUGAUGUGGUGGGGAGAGUCACAAAACCCACACCGGACAGCAUGAAGGGGACUGGGCUGUUCCUCCACCUUGAGCCAUGCGGUGUGCAGUGCCCUGGCCAGAAUGGUGUCGAAUGCUCAGCCUACAUGUAUUCGGUGCCUUCUGGGUAGCAUAGUGCUCAACAUGACCGACGUUCUUGAUAGCCUUAUGACCAGUGUUUAGAGUGGAGCUUCAGGUGUUGUUGAGCUUUCUGCCUUGACCUUAGAAGGCCGUGCAUCCACCUGCAUCACAGCCUUCCUCAUGAUGAUGUAGUCUGUUCCUAACGUGGUGAAACCUACAGGUUAGAAAAAGUGAAGAUUAUUCCACAUACAAGGAUAGAAAAGCGGAUGAAGCUUGUCCUCUCUCGAUCCACAUCUUCCAUAUAAAUAUUAGCAGGUGAGCUGAUCCCCACGGAGGAAGAUAGUUCAGUUAGAUGGCAGUGAAUAUUUGCUAGGGUUCUGGAAAUACUUUAUGUACAGUCAACAUGUUAUGCUGGGAGAGUAUGAAAGCUUCAUCUGAGAGUGCAAGAAGGACUGGGCAGAUCCUCCACCCUGAGCCAUGUCAUGUGCAGUGCCCUGCCGGGAAGGUACUGAUCACUUAGCAUAUGUGUAAUUAGUACCUGUCCGGGUAGAGUAAUGCUCAAGAAGACCAUCAUUUUUGGAGACCUUCUGCCUGGUAUUGGAGAUGGAGAUGCAUGUGUGCUUGAGUCAUUGCCUUGAACUCAGGAGGGCCCUGCCUGACAGGCACGUGGGUUUGAUCUCAGGUGUCCUGAAAAUGAUUGGUUUCAUUCGUUCCUAUGUUAACUCCUAAACAUUGCAGAAAAUUAAGAUUUUUCCCAAUAGAAAAUAGGCAUAUGCUUGUUCUCUCUGUGUCCUCAUUAUUAUUCAGGGAGACCUAAAGCGGGUGUGGUGACGCCCACUCAGAAGGGGAAGUAUGUUGGAGGGCAUUGGGUCAACGUUUUCUAGGCUUAUGGUGAAUUCUUGGGAACAGUCAUGAUGUGGUGGGGAUGAAGAGGAAAUGAACCUUUGAGAGUGCGAGGGGCAUUGGGUUUGACCUGCACCUUGAGCUAUGCUGUAUUCAAUGCAUUGCCCAGAAUGGUGCCGACUAUUUUGAAUACGUGUAGUCAGUGCCUUCUAGGUAGGGUGAUGCUUGUCCAAACAAUGUUUUGCUGACAUCCAUGUGGAUCUAAGGCAUCCUCAAGAUGAUUGCUGUGGUCAGUUCCUAACAACGUGUACUCCCACAAGUUAGAGAAGAUGAAGAUGAUUUCUAAUGGAAGAAUAGAGAACUGGAGGAAGGUUUUUCUCUCUGCGUCCUCAUAGUCAUGCGGGUAAAUAGAGAGCAUUGAGCCUACCCCAAGGAGGAAAAGAAUCAAAUUGGAUGGCAAUGUGUCAGUGUUUUCCAGGAUUAUGAAAAAUCUUGUGUAUGGUCAACAUGUUGUGAGGAGAGAGAUCAAAGCACCAUUUGAGAGUAUGAGGUGGAAUGUUCAGGUUCUAUGUAUUUAGCCGUGAUGUGUGCAGUGUCCUACCCAGAAAUGUACUGAUCACUUAGACUACAUGUAUUUGGUGCCUUUCUGGGUAGAGUGAUGCUCAACAGGAACAACAUUGGUGGCAGCCAGUAACAGUGAUAGGAGUGGAGCUGUGGGUAUCCUUGAGGUGGCCUGCCUUGCACUCAGGAGUGCCCUGACAGCCACUUAGAUUUCAGGCAUCCUCAUGAUGAUUUCAGUGGACGAUUCAUACCAACGUGAUCUCGUGCAGGUUAGAGAAGAUGAAAAGACAUCCUAAGAGAAGAAGAGAAAAUAGGGACAAGCUUGUUCAUUGUGGAUCCUCAUAAUUGUCUUGUACACAUAGAACAGGCAAGGAGAUUCUCAGUGUGGGAGGGUUGCAGUUGGAGGGCAGUGGGUUGUCACUGUCUAGGGUUAGAGAACCACAUGAACAUAGUCAUCGUGACCUGGUGGGGACAGCAGUGAGAGCGGUGAGAGAAUCUGUGGGGAAUGGGUCAGGUCUUCCACUGGAGCCAUUCUUUGUGUAGUGCCCUACCCAUAAAGGUACGGAUCACUGAGGCUAUUUGUAAACGUGCCUGUCUGGGUAGAUUAAGACUCAACAGGAAAAAGGUCUGAGAUUGCCUUCAGUCUGGUGAUAGGGAUGAAAUGUAUGUUUCUUUGAGCUGCUGAUCCAGAGUACAAGAGGUCCCUUUCAGCUAACUGGGUCUGAACUCAGUCAUCUUGUAUAUGAUGUCAGAGCUCCGUUCAUAACAAUGCACACACUAAUGAGUUAGAGUAGAAGAAGAUACCUUCUAACAGAAAGAGACAAAACAUGAGCAAGCUUGUUCUCCCUGGGAAUUCAUAAUUGUCCAUGUAAACAGGGAGGAGGUGAGGUGAUUCCCACUAGGGAGGUUUGCAAGGUGGAGGGCAGUGGGUUAGUAUUAUCUAGGGUCAUGGAAGAAUCUAGACUACAAUCAUAAGGAUUUGAUGGGGAGAGUUAUGAAAUAUACAUUUGCGAGUGCAAGGCGGACUGUGCCCGUCCUCCACCUUGAGCCAUUUUGUGUGCAGCGCCCUGCCCAGAAUGGUUCCGAUUACGUAGAUUAAGUGUAGUCGGUGCCAUCUGGGUAGAGCGAUGCUCAACAUGAACAACGUUUGGGGUGUCUUUCAGAGCAGGUGUGGGAGUGGAGAUUGAGGUGUUGUGGAGCUUCCUGCCUUGACCUCAGGAGGGCCCUGGCAUCCACCUAGGACUCAGGCAUCCUCAAGAUGAUUGCUGUGGUCUCUUCCUUAUCCUGUGAACACCUACAGGUUAGAGAAGAUGAAGAUUAUUCCUAAUAGCAUCAUAGGAAACUAGAGGAAACGAGUCCUCUCUGCAUCCAUAUGUUCAUCCAGGUAAGCAUAGAGCAGGUGAGCAGAUCCCCACUAAGGAAGAGAAUCAAAUUGGAUGGCAGUCAAUCAGUACUUUCUAGGGUUAUGGAAAAAUCUUGUGUACAGUCGUCAUGACAUGGUGGGGAGACAACGAAUGCUUCAUCUGAGAGUGUGUGGAGGACUGGGCAGAUCCUCCACCUUGAGCCAUGCUGUGUGCAGUGCCCUACCCGGAAGGUACUGAUCACUUAGCCUACAUGUAAUUAGUACCUGUCUGGGUAGAGUAAUGCUCAACAAGAACAACAUUUGUGGAGGCCUUCAGACUGGUGAAUGGAGGGAGAUGCAUUUGUCCUUGAGUUUGUGCCUUGAACUCAGCAGGGCCCAGACAGCCACCUGGGUUGAUCUCAGGCAUGCUAGAGAGGAUUGUUGUUGUCCUUUCUUAACUCUGUGAACACCUACAGGUUAGAGAGAGGAAGAUUCUUCCUAAUAGGAAAGAGGAGCAAGCUUGUUCUCUCCGUGUGUCCUCAUAAUUACCCAAGUACACGUAGAAGAGGUGAGGGGAUCCCAAGUGAGAGAGGAGUGCAACUUGGAGGCAGUGGAUGGGCACUGUCCAGGGCUAUUGAAACGUCUUGUGUAAAGUCAUCUUGAUGUGGGGAGAGAGAUGGAGCUCCAUUGGAGAGGGCGAGUGGAUUGGGCAGGUUCUCUCAAUUUAGCCAUGCUGUGUGCAGUGUCCUACUCAGAAAGGUGGUGAUCGCUUAGACUACAUGUAGUUGGUACCUUCCUGGGUGGACUGAUGCUCAACAGGAAGAACCUGGGUGGUGGCUAGUAGCAGUGAUGGAAGUGGAGCUGCAGGUAUCCUUGAGCUGGCCUGUCUUGCAGUCAGCAGGGCCCUGGGAAGCCACCUGGAUCUCAGGCAUCCUCAAGAUGAUUUCAGUGGGUCAUUCCUACCAUCGUGAUCUCGUCCAGGUUAGAGAAGAUGAAAAGAGUUCCUAAUAGAAGAUGAGAAAAUAAGGGCAAGCUUCUUCUCUGUGGCUCCUCAUGAUUGUCUGGUAGAUAUAGAGCAGGUGAGGGGAUUCUCACUGAGGAAGGGUUGCAUUUGGAGGGCACUGGGUCUUUCUUGUAUAGGGUUGUAGAGAAACUUGGGUACAGUCCUUGUGACAGUCUUGGGACAGGGAUGAAAGGUACUUUUGAAGAUGUGAGGAGAACUGGGCAGAUACUCCAUUUUGAUCCAUUCUGUGUGCAGUGCCCUACCCAGCAAGGUACUGAUCACUUAGACGAGGUAUGAUCAGUGCCUGUCUGGGUGGAGUAAUGCUCAACAAGAACAACAUUUGGGAGGGUCUUCAGACUGGUGCUGGGGAAGGAGAUGGAUGUGUCUGUAAGGUGCCUGCCUCCAACUCUGGGGGGUCGUGCAGCCUCCCUGGUUGGAUCUCAGGUAUCGAAAUGAUGAUUUCUCUGGUCAAUUUCUAAUAAUAUCAACCCUGUGUUUGUCCAAGCUGAUGAAGAUACUGGCUUAGAGAAACGUAAAUUUCAUAUGACAGCACGAAGGGCAUUGUGGCGAUCCUCCGGCUUGAAGCCAUGCUUCAUGCAAUCUCCAGCCCACAGUGGCGCUCCUCAUUACGACUACAUGGAAUUGUUACCAGUCUGGGACGAGUGAUGCUAAGCCAAACGACGUUUGUGGCGGGCUUUGUAUGAGUGCUGAGGUUGGAGGUGGGUCCUUGAGCUGCCUAACUUGAACUCACUAGGGCCAUGGCUGCCAACUGAAUCCCCUGCAUCCACCAUAUCAUUUCAUUGCUACACUCGUAAUAAUGUGAAUGUUUAGAUGUCAGAGUAGAUGAAGUUAUUUCCUAGGAGAAGAAGAGAAAAUAGGAGCAAGCUUGUUCCCUCUUGGAUCUCGUGAUCAUCCAGUAACCCUGGAUAUGGUGAGAGGAUUCUCACUAAUGGAGGGUUGCGAGUCAGAAGGUAGUGAGUUGUCAUUUUCUAUGGUUAUCUAAACAUCUUGGGUACAAUCAUCAUGAUGUGGAGAGGAGAGAGAUGGAAUCUACAUUUGAGAAUGCAUGUAGGACUGGGCAGCUUGUCCACCUUGAUCCAUGCUGUGCGUUGUGCCCUGCCUGAAGGAUGCCGAUUACUUAGACUAGGUUUAAUUGGUGUCUUCUUGGUUGAGUGAUGAUCAUUAAGAAAAACUGUUGUCGUAGCCCUAGGACCAGUAAUUGCGGUGGAGGUGCAACAGUCCUUGAGCUUCCCUUCUUGAACCCACCUGGAUCUCACUCAUCCUCAAGACCUUUAGGGUCUAACUAUGCCAUGGGCCAAUGAGGGUUAUCCCAAUUGAUAUCAGAAUGCAUUCUCAUAAUGUAUCUUGCUCAGCCUCUAAAUACCGAGUAAAGGAAACAAUCUUGGUUUUGGGUUUUGUGGGAGAAAUUUGCAAGUUUCUUCAUUGAUACCUGGAAAAGAUGUGAUAGGUUUAUAUGUAACCAUCAUAUUUUUAGAUUUUAUUGAUAUGUUUUAUAAUUUUGUAUAUUUAUCGUUUUUUCUGAUAAGUGGUUUUCUUGUGAACAUGCCUUCUAAUUUUUUUCUAUUUUUCACCCGUCCAUUUUACUCUUGACACUAAUUGCUGUUCUAGUUGUAUGUGGUUCUGAAAUUGUUUUCAGUGAAAUUUUAUUUCACGUAAUCUCUCUCUGAAUGCUUUAAGUAAUUAGCAAUCUUGAAGUUUUCUCUUGCAAAGGUUUAUUUUAUUCAGAGAUCUAAGCUCUAAAAUAAUGAUUUGAAAUGGCUUUGUGUCCUCAUCCAGGUUUGCUAUGAGCUCUUCGUAAAACAGUAAUUUCUAGAGAAAUUUAGGUAUGAGUAAUCGAUAGUUUAACUAAUGUUAAUAAUCAGAUAUAUGUUUUUUUAUUAAGAGAAAUGUUUUCGUUAUGGUCAAAUAAGAAAAUAUAUAUGAGAAAAAUCUGCAUGAAAUUCUGAAUUCUAUUACCUCAUUGCUGAAUAUGCGUGUUCCCUUUAUAGCCACCGUCUUGAGGGUGUCUUGGUUGCUUGCUUAUGUCCAAACUUAUCAAGCUGUAUGCACUAACCGGGUGCAGUUUUUGGUAUAUCAAUUAUACCUCAAUAAAGCUGUUAAAAAAAGAAAGAAAAACAAAGUAUAUUACCUCCUAAAUAAGCAUUCCUUCAGCAAGUGAAUUAUGAUUACUACUGCCAUCACCCCUGCUGCUGCUCCUCUGAGUUUAACUAGUACUGAUCCUACUCCUGCUCUGUUUAUUUGGAGCACAGACAACACUUUACGUGGUCACCUUUUAACAGGGUGGUAUCCCUGGCAAUAUUCAUGGCUAUAGGACCUGGCUAUAUCACAUAUGACAUAACUUUUUUAAGAAAUAAUGUUGUUCUGUUGAUACAUAUGGAUAUUUUAAAAUUCUCAGCAAGUUGAGUAAAAUGAGGAAAUGAUUUUGAUAAUUUAAUAAUACCGUGUAAGGAUCAUGCUCUUCUAGAACACAUAUUUCGCCAAUUCCGUAUGCUUGGUGUUCAUCACACAGCUAUAUUUUUCAUGUUACACGAAAGAUGUAGAUACCCAUGUUUAACUGUAAUUUCCAGGGCAUAAUGGUUCAUUUCUGUUUCAUAUAUUUAUUGAUAUAUAUAUAUAUAUUUAAUUUGCUUAUUCUUUAGAACACUUCAUUUAUAUUCAUGCCUGGAUAGAUUCAUUUUCAUUCAAUUCAAGCCUUGAAGACUGAGGGAACACAUUGUGGAGGGUAUAGGUUAAUGGCUACAAAUGACAAAAAAUUUUGAUUUUUUCAGCCACAAUUUCAAAUUAUACAGUAGGGCUUUAUCCAUGCCUCUGUUGCUUUGAACUCAGCUUCUCUUCUUCAUCCAUGUUGACACUCUUCAGAUGAUUGCAUUUUAUAUUGAUAUGCAUUUUGGUUCCUGCUAUUGUUAUCACUCAAUUAUUAUCUUCUUUGUUUAGGUCACUCUUGAGUUUCACCAGGUUAGACCUGAUUGCACUGCUGAUUUUAAAGUUGUAAAAGAAGCAACAUUUUGUUUGUACUACCUGGAGUAAGGUUGCUUCCAGUUGAUGCAGUUCCUUUUCCUUGCCACUGGGACCCAAGACACCUGGAGAACUCUAGCAUGAAUGAUGGGCAGGGGCAGAGUAAAAUUGCUUUUCACUUAAAUGCAGGAUUUCUUUGUUUACGUGUGAGGAAUUUGCUUUGAUAGUGGUGGAAAUUAAUGAUAUGAGAAUAUAGUCAUUGAUGUGUCUUUCACUAGGUUACAGAAACAUUUAGAAUAUAUCUCCUCACCUUUAACACCAAUUCUAUAAUUAAUAACAAUUUUUAUGAUGAAGUGUGUUGAGGAUGAAUUUAACAUGUGAAUGAAAUCUAAGCACCCGGAUUGGCAGGUAAGUUAGCAUUAAGCCAGUGUUAAAGAUGGUCGUUAUUAGUGUUUAAUAAUUAUGGCUGUCUUAACAUUAAAAUUUAUGACCGUUUUCUUACAGAUAGGAAGCACUGGUGAGAGUAAAGUUAAGAGACUUGGUUAUUUCCCCCAUAGAAAGAGAGUUGAAUAUUCAUGUUGGAGUUUUUUGUAUUAUUUUUUCAUGAUAAAAAUAUUUUUGUCUCACAGUGACCAGAGAAUCAAAGAGAUAUAUGUGGAUAGAUCUGCAUAUUCCACAUUUACAUUUUAAUAGUGUUUACUUUGUUAAACCUUAAUGUUCAAAUCCAUUUUCUCCUUUUGAACAAACAUAUACUGUGGUGUUUAACUUUGUGUGUCAUCUUGGCCAGGCUGUGGUACCCAAAUUUGGUCAAACACGAGUAUAGAUGUUGCUGUGAAUUAGGAUUCAAAUCAGUAGACUUUAAGUAAGGCAGAUUACCCUCUAUAGUGUGGGUGAGCCACAUCCAAACAGUUGAAGGCCAGGUCCCCCAAGGGAGAGGAGAUUCUGCCUCCAGACUGCCACAGGGACUCGAGAUGCAACAUCAGCUCUUCCCUGGGUCUCCACUCUGCCAGGCUGCUCUGCAGAUUUCAGACUUACCAGCCCAAACAAUCACGUGAGCCAAUUCCUUCAAAUAAAUCUCUUUUUCUCUCACUCUCCUCUUUAUGUUUGUGUGUGUAAAUCUGAUUGGUCCUGUUUCUCUGGAGAACCCUAAUACAUAUUCCAUGUCAUCUUAAAAGAAGCUGACAAGGGGCCAGCCCAUUGGUGUAGUGGUUAAGUUCACACACACUGCUUCGGUGGCCAGGGGUUCGUGGGUUUGGAUCCCAGGCCAAGCCUACACACCACUUGUCAAGCCAUGCUAUGGUGGUGUCCCAUAUACAAAAUAGAGGAAGAUUGACACAGCUGAUAGUUCAGGGAAAAUCUUCCUCAAGCAAAAAGAGGAAGAUUGGCAACAGAUAUUAGCUCAGGGCCAGUCUUCCUCACCCCCUCCCAAAACAAGAAAGAAAAAGAAAAGAAACUGACAUGUAUUUCUGUGAGUAUGUGUAAUGUGGCUUCAUUUUUCAACAGAUGGGAUUAUGCCCUGAGCUUUGUGUAAUAUGGUGAAACCAUGAGUGUGAAAAAGACUGAUAUCCUACUACAUCAAAUGCUUUUUCUGGUUAAAGUUUAAAAUGUAACUAUUUCAUGGUAUCAACUUUAAGGUUAGUGAUAGAAACUAAGGAUGCAAUUUUUUUAACCUUUUACAUGUUUUCCCUUAUGCUGCAACAACACACAAUUCUUUUAUAGCAAAGUCUCUGUGAGUUAUUUGGGCAAUAACUCCAUAUGUUGAUUACUUUCUUUAAUUUUGAUAUUACCAUGUAGGAUCUGGUUUGUGAAAUGAUCCUCCUCAUUCUUCAUUUUUGAGGAUUUCUGGGAUAAUCUGAUUCAUUUAUAUAUAGGCAUUAAAAAAUAGCAUUACUUUGUCAAAUUUCCCUGAAUGUAACAUUUAACUUUCUGACAUUGCUUUUGCAAUGAGGGACUUUGGGCAAAAUGAAAAUCUUUACAAAGUAGAACUUGCUCAUCUGAUGUGAGUAUGUGCUAUACAGAUUUUGUUUUCUUCAGGAAAGUCAUGCUGUGGUCUUCAUAGAUAGGUAGAAUGAAUGUUAUAGGUUUAUUCCUAGCAUUUCUAUUUCUAUUUCUUUUUGUGUUGAUUAUAUUCUUAUCCCCAUCAUUUGUGCUGACUGAUUAUUGGUGGUGGACAGUUAACAUGCCUACUUUUGCCAACUCAACUUACAUCUCUAUCAUUUUGUAUCAUUUUUAGCCCACUUUAGUUGGAGAAUUGCAUUUAAAGGUUUUAUGAAGUAGAAUUAAAUAAACCUUCUAAACACGUAGACCUUUUAUCAACUGCUUUACCAUAGAGUAGCAAAAUAGGUGGAUAGCACCUUAAUUGUUAACUUUUUAAAUCACAUCUUCCUAAGUCUUUCUCAGACUUUCUUUUAUACUGAUUCAUUUUUACUCUGAGAACUUGGUGGUAACAUCUGGAUUUUUGAAGGACUUGGCUUCCAGUACAUCCUGUGUCAUCACUGUGUCCUCCUGAGUCACUGCCCUCUGGAGACUUUUUGGUAUGAAAAACAGGACACUGUAGUGUAUGGGUUACUUUUAUCUCGUCAGAGGAAUUCCUGAAAGAAGCUCUUUUUUGGUAGUCUGGUUCCAAAAGUAUUUUCAGAUGUUGCCUCAUGACAAAUCAGGGCUGUAGAGUUACUAAAAGUUUAUUCAGUUCUGGGUUGUGAGUGUCUAACCACAGAAAUGUUUCAUGUACCUUGUCUCCCAGGUGGAGUUUAUCAGCUAUUUGUCAAGUUACCAAAAAGUUCCCACAGAGAUUUUAAUCUGAUUAUCUUAAAAACAUAGAUGAAAUUGAGAAAAUUCCACAUUUCUACAGUGUCAACUUCAUGUUUGGGAGCAUGGGUGCUGUGACCUCUGCUGCACAUGAGAUAAAUUGAACUUGGAGAGGUUAAUGUCACAUAGGAAGUAAAAGGUCCCCGUUUCCUUUCCCUUUUUUUGCAUCCGUGCUUCUUCAUCCUUUCCUUUUGUUGGUUUAAUGAUAUAGUAUGUAUUUCGGCAGACAUUUCUUCAUGUGCAUAAUAUCCUCCACAGUCCUAUUUUUUCAGGUCCAUAUGUUGGUACAUGUCCUUCCACUGGUUUUUCAACCUUAAACACACAUAAACAUUAUAGUUCCUGGGUUUGCUAUGAGGAUUUCAGAAGAUAAUCCACACUUAGCACAGUUUUUGGAAACUAAACCCUAGCCUCAGUUCUUGAAAUACUGUUGGAGGAAGUCAUCAAGAGUACGUGACUGCCAGUUGACCUGAGAGCUGGACCCAGGCAAUUGGAGGCUCCUUAACUUUCCCCUGCCUUGGGAAUGGACGUUCCACCCACUAUUCCCACUCUUGGAGGCAUUUCAGGGAUGCAGCUUGAGAUAAUAAUGUGUUGUUGAGACCAUCCGGACAGUAUACGCAACUGAACCCAGGUAAGGCCCCUAUACGGCACACCUUGGGGAUAUUGCAGGUUUAGUUCCAGACCACUGCAAUAAAGCGAAUAUCACAAUAAAACAAGUCACAUGAAUUUUUGGUUUCCUAGUGCAUAUAAAGUUAUGUUUACACUAUCCUGUAGUCUAAAAAGUGUGCAACAGCAUUAUGUCUAAAAAAUACCAAUGUAUGUGCCUUAAUUAGGGGCUGGCCCAGUGGUGCAGUGGUUAAUUGUGCAUUUCUGCUUCUCGGCAGCCUGGGGUUUACCGGUCCGGAUCCCGAGUGCGGACAUGGCACUGCUUGGCAAAAGCCAUGCUAUGUUAGGUAUCCCACAUAUAAAGUAGAGGAAGAUGGGCAUGGAUGUUAGCUCAGGGCCAGUCUUCCUCAGCAAAAAGAGGAGGAUUGGCAGUAGUUAGCUCAGGGAUAAUCUUCCUCAAAAAAAAAAUUAUAUAUAUAAUUUAUUGCUAAAAAAUGCUAACCAUCAUCUGAACCUUUUGUGAGCCAUAACCUUUUGGUGGUGGAGGAUCUUGUAAAAAACGCAACAUCUGUGAAGCACAAUAAAGCAGAGAGCAAUAACAUGAGGUAUGCGUGUGUAAACUUUAAGAUUCUGACAGGCAGAUUCAGAGAUCUACUCUUCUUGCGACUGCCCAAGACAAGCCCCUUAUGUAAGUUCCCUUACUUAUUAAAACUGCCACCUACCAAUCUGGAGUGGCCUACUUCAGUCUUCAGUCUCUCCUUGCCCACCAUGUACGGGGGCCAAUUUCAUACUUCUCCCAGGGAACUCCCAAGUUUGCAUACCAACAAAUACCUAGCCAAAAAAGGCACAUGGGAAGUUUUCACCGAAUUACCUUAAUAUUAAGAAUAUAUUUGAGAGAUGGCCAACCCUGUGGCCAAAUCAUUAGCUUCGUGCACUCCACUUUGGUUACCCGGGGUUUGGCCAGUUUGGAUCCUGGGGCCAGACCUAGCAUGGCUCAUCAAGCCAUGCUGAGGGGCGUCCCACAUAGCAGAGCCAGAAGGACCUACAACUACAAUAUACAACUAUGUACUGAGGGGCUCUGGGGAGAAAAAGGAAAAAAAGUUUGGCAGCAGAUGUUCGCUCAGCACCAGUCUUUAAAAAGAUAAAAAGAAUGCAUUUGAGAAAAAUCUCUCUAUUUGAUAUUGAAUCUUUCUGUAUUAGAUCAUGUGUGCAUAUAUUUUCUUUAUUCAAAUCACCUGGAAUAGGUCUCAGAAAGUUUUCUAAUAUUUUUUAAAAUAGGUCCUAAACAAUUCUUAGUAAGAUUAUUUCUAGAUAAUUCUCAUCUACUUAUUUUUGAGUGGAUACUGAAUUCAAAUACCUCUUUUAAUAUCGAAAUACUUUUAUUUGACACACAGAUGUCAAUCUCAUAUGUAUAUAGAAAAUACUUUGCAUAAAGAUAAUUUAUUCAAAAUUAUUUGUAAUGAUUUAUAUUCAAAAUUAGAUGCUAGUUCAAAGGAUCCCCUUUUCAUUCUGUGCUGUACAAUCUGAGCCUCAUGUUGCUAAAUGCCUUUUUGAAUGAAUUAUAGCUCAUAUGCAGUAAAAUUAUCUGUUUUUAUGUUUCUUUUCUGUCUACCCAAAUUACUAAACUGUCCUUUCAAUUCUCAUUAGGUUGCAUUUGGCCCUUUUUGAUUUCUCUAUAUUAUAAGUAACAUCGGUGAUCAGAAAAUGCUCUAAACAACCACAUCGCGUAUUUGUUUCUUUUUUAUAAAAUACAACACAGGAUCAUAUACACAGAAUUUUACUUUGCAGCUUUAUUUCUCACCUAACAAUAGUAAGCGGCAUGCACUGGGACAAGAUGUUCCGUGGAUUCGAGUUCCUGAUUUCAACACUCUUGCCAAUGGGGAAUGUACUUGGGUACAUUGGGUGACGUAGGACUUGAAAUUUUUUCUCAAAUACCAAGUUACCUUCACACCUUUUCAUCACAUUUGUUCCAGGAAUAACUCUGAAUUCUGGAUCCCACAUAUAUUGUAAUUGUGGCUGCAGAAUACAGUCUCUGGGACAGACAUUCACCGUUUCUAUUUCUAGACCUUCUCUUGAAAUUCUCCUCUAAUCAAUAAUCUUAUAAACGUAAUUUGUCAUCCCCUUCUCAAAUUACCCUAAAAUGCUCAUUAAGAGAAAAAGUCAUUACUAUAAAAACUUAAAUGAAUUGUAGGAAUUUAACACACAGUCAAAUUUGAGCCUUCGCAUCAGGAUCAGAUCACGUGUUUAAAACCUUGUAUUCAAGCUGGUUUUCUACAUGAAGGCCCUUAACAAUUAUAAAGCUUAUUUCAAGGACCUUAUAUUUGUUCUGUUUAUUGAAUAUUCAGAAUAGAGUUGUCAUUUUUGUUGCUGUUGUUGUUUUGAUAAUCCUCCUUGCCAUUAUGUAUGUUUUCAGAAUUCCGCUGGCUCUGCUUGCUCAUAGCAUCUUUUCUUUUUAAAUGUAUUUUUUUAAUUUGUUAAUGAUAACUAGUAAAAUAUGAGUAGCUGAUAUGUCAUUUGCUUUUUCAAAUUAAUUAUUCAUUCUAAAAGUCAGGUAUUAUUUGAUACACCUCUCUUCUGUCUGUCCAGCGAAUUAAGUAUAUUACAGUUAUCAUCUUUUUGAGGUAAUUUUCUCAAAUUAUCUACGUUAGUAAAAGCAAUGGUAUAUUUUGUGCGUUGUAUAAUUCAAACCAGGGCCCAUGAAAUAUCAUCAUCAUCAUCAUCACAAUCAGUGUGCUACACAACCUUGUGGGCCAAAUCAGACUACCUCUUGCUUUUGGCUCUCGGCUCAGUUCCCUGUUCCCUCUUUCUCUUUGACCUCAGCUCUGGAAUUUGAGCCCUAAGGUUCACUUCUCAGAUGGAUUUUGCUGCCAGCUCCUGCGGGGGUGCCCAUGCAGCCUUUUGAAACCUCAAUUCCCUAGAGACCUUUUAGUAUCAAGAGUAGUGAUUUAACAACAGGGAUUAAAGUAAACUCAUUACAAGGAUUAGUCAAACUCAUAUCCUGCUAGGUAAGAAUGUAGUUUUUAAAUAGGAAGGCAACGUGUUACCUAAAAGUGUGUUUUGUUG
Molecule: long non-coding RNA, 28529 nt
Filed under: Equus caballus (horse)
Lineage: Eukaryota; Metazoa; Chordata; Mammalia; Perissodactyla; Equidae
Source: RNAcentral